This 251-nucleotide long non-coding RNA is filed under the name Actinidia chinensis (golden kiwifruit). Its description in RNAcentral is "long non-coding RNA (ACHI_LNC005027)". Lineage: Eukaryota; Viridiplantae; Streptophyta; Magnoliopsida; Ericales; Actinidiaceae. The record is from RNAcentral.
CAUUGCAAUAACCUAAUGAAUCAUUCUAACCUUGCUCAACUCAGCCAUCUGUUCACAGGAGCUGAUUUUACCAUGAAAUACAAUCUGAUCUCUUUGCAUCCAUCAACUCCAUAGAGUUUCCCAUAUAAACUUGUUUCAUCCUUUCCAUCUAAAACCGACCCACCCGAAAGCUAAGUCAUGGAAAGAUUUAGGACUCACCCAUAUCAUUCCCCACCCUCUUAGACAAGAAGACCAAACUCGAACCUGAAUGC